Equus caballus (horse) is the source of this 2123-nucleotide long non-coding RNA. Lineage: Eukaryota; Metazoa; Chordata; Mammalia; Perissodactyla; Equidae. The record is from Ensembl.
UGGAGCUCUGAAAAGAACUUCGUGUCCCUGUUGCCUGCAUUCUAUCACUGUGUCCCCUUCUGGAUAAAUUGAUGUCAUUGGUGUAAAAAUAUCAGAGCUGAAAAUAAACCUUUCCCAGCCACGGGCGGUAGGCUUCCUGAGGACCAAUUUCCUGGCAGAGAAUGAACUGCCUCAUCUUCUAUUGAUCUGAGACACCGUGGGCGGGACAGAGCCACAAGCACGACCACGCCACUCUUGGCUCGCCCUGCCCACAGCUUUGUGCAAAUGAGGGAAGAAGCGUAAAUCUCAUCAGCUGCACAGCAGUCCUGCCUCUGAGGGGACAGCGGAGGCCUGCAGGGACAUGCUGGAUGCAGGGGGGUGCUCUGAGCUAAGUCGUGCCCCUCCAGAGUGUUGACACCCUAACUCCCAGGGGCUCAGAAUGUGACUGGAUUUGGAUAUAGGGUCUUUCAAAGAGGUGAUUAGGGUAAAAUGAGGUCAUAUGUGUGGGACCUAAUCCUGUGUGACUGUGUCCUCAUAAGAAGAGGAGAUGAGGACACAGACACGCGCAGAGGGACGACCUGUGAGGACACAGGGAGGAGACGGCCGCCUGCAAGCCGAGGAGAAAGCCCCGGAGAAACCAGCCCUGCCCACACCCUGACCUUGGACUUCAGCCUCCAGGACUGUGAGAGAGUAAACGUCUGCUGUUUAAGCCGCCCUGCCUGUGGUGUUUGUCACACACCCUGAGCCGACUGAUACAGUGGAUGCCUGGGACGUGACGACGUCAUCUGAUUGGCGCGUGGAGGAGGUCACUGGAUGUCUUGUGUGGAGCCUGGCCUGGGAUGCCAGGGUCUAAGGAGGGAGGCAGUUUGGAGGCUGUGAGUUCAUCCGCAUGGGUAGCGAUGGACCUGGGCUCACUGGUGACUGUGGAAAGAAGAAAAGGGGGUACUUCUGGGCCUGUUUUGGAAGUAGAGCCCAUCAAAGGUGGAUGCUGGCCUUCCGCUGGGCGGCGGGUGGACUGUGGUUCCUCACCAAGAUGGGCAGGUGGAGAAGGGCGGGUCUGGUGGUGCAGGGUCAUGGGUUACAGCGGACACGGCGAGUCUCGUUUGGGGCAUAUUGAGUUAGAAUCCAAGAGGAGGUGCGGGUGGCAGCCACCUGAGUUGACUGAGUCAGGAGAGGGGGGAAAGGAUGCCGUGGGGACAGUUGGUAGUGGCCCAGCAUGAAGUAGCUGAUCUCAGAACCGAGCUGCUCCCUGCAGUGAGUCCAACCCCAGGGCAGUCGUCCCGGGGCCAAUGAUCAGCAGCCAAGUUCCGGAGCAGGCCUGAGGAAGAUGAAACCCUGGCCAGCACCGGGCAGCCACACCUAUGAAGUGGACGGGUGUGCGGUAAGGGACACGGAGGGAUUCAGAAACUCCUGCUGGAGGACAGGAGAGGCAAGCUCUGGGUGAAGGUAUGCGGUCGAGAAGGGGUUAGAGGGCAGUGGGCGAUGCCAGGGGACGGACUAAUGAGGAGACCCGGGGUGACUGCGAGGGAGAAGGGCCUGGGAGGACGCGCUCAGCAGGGGUCCGACAGAACACUUCCCAAGCAGCUGAAACGGAGGGUGCCCCUAACCUCCUCCGUGAUCAACUAUUUGAGUCUAGUUUAGACCAAGGGGACUAAAAGCUAUUCUGAAAUAGUAAUUCUGGGUAGUACAAAGCACACCAAUGGCUUGUUUCCUCCAAAAACUUGGAUAUCAAACUGUCCCCUGGAUUGAUGAGGGUUCAGCAAGAAACAGAUGGCCCAUUCAGAUUGGGAUAGUCUAGGAAAGGUUUAAUGAAGGGAUGCCAAUAAAGUGAUGGUGGGUGAGAGAGACCAUAAAGGAUAGUGAGGGACCCUAGGACCAGGAACAGGGAGCAAUGUCACUCCAGGGCUGGAGGCCUGUGGGUAGGGGAGCCUACCCUGACUAUAAAAAUUGUCCAAUUGACCCACAGAAUUGUGAGAAAUAAGAAAUGUUUGUCAUUUUAAGCUUAAGUUUGGGGGUGGUUUGUUAUGCAGCAAAAGCUAGCUGAUACAACCUCAUAAGGUGGUCAUGAAGAUGAGUAAAGUAUUUAGAACAGUGUUGGGACACAGCCAGAGUUCAACAAGUGUUAGUCAUUAUUAAUAUUGGGC